CAAGCUUAAGCUGAGCACCUCGAAGGGCUUCUUUUUAUGUUGAAAGGCACGGGUUUGGAUGGCGGUUCAUCAGAGGUCAAUACCCCAGUUUGAGAAAGUCCACUGUGGGGAGGAAAGAGAGACUUAAGCAAGCCCUGGAAAAACAAAGAAUGGAACACCCCUCCUCUGACUUCAACCAACUGCCUGCUGCUGCAGCCUGACUCCCAGUCCUUUUUGUGGUUUUAAGGUGACAAACUGACCAGGCUACAAAGUAUCCAACCAUGGGCUGGUACUGGCUGGUUCACCGAGGCUGUAUACAAAGUGCCUUCGUGUCCUGUGUUUCACCUUUUAACAUACAGAGCCUAAUUUUACUGCAUUUUAAUGUUAAAUAUCCAUUCGAAGGUGAACAUGAGAUGUA
Molecule: long non-coding RNA, 397 nt
Filed under: Pongo abelii (Sumatran orangutan)
Lineage: Eukaryota; Metazoa; Chordata; Mammalia; Primates; Hominidae
Description: lincRNA
Source: RNAcentral